AUUGAACGCUGGCGGCAUGCUUUACACAUGCAAGUCGAGCGGCAGCGCGGGGCAACCUGGCGGCGAGCGGCGAACGGGUGAGUAAUGUAUCGGAACGUAUCCUUAAGUGGGGGACAACUAGUCGAAAGACUAGCUAAUACCGCAUACGAUCGAGAGAUGAAAGUGGGGGACCGCAAGGCCUCACGCUUUUGGAGCGGCCGAUAUCCGAUUAGCUUGUUGGUGAGGUAAAGGCUUACCAAGGCUAUGAUCGGUAGCUGGUCUGAGAGGAUGAUCAGCCACACUGGGACUGAGACACGGCCCAGACUCCUACGGGAGGCAGCAGUGGGGAAUUUUGGACAAUGGGGGCAACCCUGAUCCAGCCAUGCCGCGUGAGUGAAGAAGGCCCUCGGGUUGUAAAGCUCUUUUGUCCGGAAAGAAAAGCAAUCGGUUAAUACCCGGUUGUUCUGACGGUACCGGAAGAAUAAGCACCGGCUAACUUCGUGCCAGCAGCCGCGGUAAGG
Molecule: ribosomal RNA, 500 nt
Filed under: uncultured bacterium
Lineage: Bacteria
Description: bacterial SSU rRNA
Rfam family: Bacterial small subunit ribosomal RNA
Source: RNAcentral